RNAcentral lists this ribosomal RNA (1012 nucleotides) under Salmonella enterica subsp. enterica serovar Poona. Its description in RNAcentral is "partial 23S ribosomal RNA". It matches the Rfam family "Bacterial large subunit ribosomal RNA", at positions 394 to 1240 of the family's 2925-position model. Lineage: Bacteria; Pseudomonadati; Pseudomonadota; Gammaproteobacteria; Enterobacterales; Enterobacteriaceae. The record is from RNAcentral.
GUGCUGUGAGCUCGAUGAGUAGGGCGGGACACGUGGUAUCCUGUCUGAAUAUGGGGGGACCAUCCUCCAAGGCUAAAUACUCCUGACUGACCGAUAGUGAACCAGUACCGUGAGGGAAAGGCGAAAAGAACCCCGGCGAGGGGAGUGAAAAAGAACCUGAAACCGUGUACGUACAAGCAGUGGGAGCCCCACCACUAAGCCAGUGGUGAACUCCACAUACGCAUCCUUUGCUGAGGAUACGGUUAACGGAGCGAAAGCGACGUUCAACCUCAAAAGAAGCAGAGGGGGCUUAGUGGUGGGGUGACUGCGUACCUUUUGUAUAAUGGGUCAGCGACUUAUAUUCUGUAGCAAGGUUAACCGUAUAGGGGAGCCGCAGGGAAACCGAGUCUUAACCGGGCGUUAAGUUGCAGGGUAUAGACCCGAAACCCGGUGAUCUAGCCAUGGGCAGGUUGAAGGUUGGGUAACACUAACUGGAGGACCGAACCGACUAAUGUUGAAAAAUUAGCGGAUGACCUGUGGCUGGGGGUGAAAGGCCAAUCAAACCGGGAGAUAGCUGGUUCUCCCCGAAAGCUAUUUAGGUAGCGCCUCGUGAACUCAUCUCCGGGGGUAGAGCACUGUUUCGGCUAGGGGGCCAUCCCGGCUUACCAACCCGAUGCAAACUGCGAAUACCGGAGAAUGUUAUCACGGGAGACACACGGCGGGUGCUAACGUCCGUCGUGAAGAGGGAAACAACCCAGACCGCCAGCUAAGGUCCCAAAGUCAUGGUUAAGUGGGAAACGAUGUGGGAAGGCCCAGACAGCCAGGAUGUUGGCUUAGAAGCAGCCAUCAUUUAAAGAAAGCGUAAUAGCUCACUGGUCGAGUCGGCCUGCGCGGAAGAUGUAACGGGGCUAAACCAUGCACCGAAGCUGCGGCAGCGAACGUAUCACCCAAGACAACUUUACGGAGUUAACGAUUGACGGAGCGAAGCGACGUCAAAGCGUUCAUUAAAGUCGAGUUGGCUUAGGGAUACGUU